UUCAGAGUUAGGUGGAAGGGAAUCCCACUGGCUGCGAGGUGCAAUGUCUGAAACUGUGGAGGAAGGAGCGAAUUCCUCUCGUGAGGGCCGUCCCCUCCUCUUGGAAGAACAGAGCUGACCUGCAGACCAAGGGGGCACAGUCUGGUGUAGACUGGAAAGCAGCCCAAGUGAGGUGAGCGAGACCCAGGGCAGUCAAGUGACUUUCUCAAGAUCAAGUAAUGCAGCUGGAUUUGGACCCUAGUCAGUCUGGCUCCAAAAACCUCACAGAGGGCUACUGGAGGAAGACUGGACGUUUCCUGGACUGCAGGGAAUCUCAGUGCCAGUCCGGGUACCUCGUAGGAGGAGAGGAAAUCCUGCUCUGGAGCAAAUGAGUGAGGACAGCUGCCUAGUGUGAGUGAAGCCCUUUCGGUUUGAAAUGCUCCACAGUCAGCGCCAGAACCAAGGGGUGGGAGGCAGGCCGGCUCCGUGUUUGCUCCGAGGGGUCCACCUACUGGGAAAAGGCAGGUAAGUCAAACAAGCCUGUUUGUUCUCCCAGCACAGCAAACAAAACACAAGACUAAUUCUCCUCCAAGGCCUCCCUGCUGGACCCAAGAGGUAUGAUUAAAGUAAUGGGAAGACAAAUAUUUUCCUGGAGAAAAUGAUAAAACUUGAGGCAGGGAAAGCAAACAGCGUCGUCAAAGGGCAGCUGUGGAACUGGUGUGGAGCUGCCCCAGAAGCAGUCAGAAGAUUCUGGGAGGGGAGAAAGACCCACGGGCUCUCAGCCUGGAGGGGUGGGCUGAGGGAAGCAAGGGCUUUGUUCAAGGCAGCCUGAGCGUUUCAAAUGCAGUGAGAAACUGUUAUUAUUCUCCUCUGCCUUGGGAUCUUCAUCAUCAUUAUUGAGGUGGACAGAAU
Choloepus didactylus (southern two-toed sloth) is the source of this 891-nucleotide long non-coding RNA. RefSeq lists it as uncharacterized. The record is from RefSeq and is a predicted model, not a curated record. The transcript is spliced from 3 exons. NCBI's taxonomy places the organism in Eukaryota, Metazoa, Chordata, Mammalia, Pilosa, Megalonychidae.